Molecule: ribosomal RNA, 366 nt
Filed under: uncultured bacterium
Lineage: Bacteria
Description: bacterial SSU rRNA
Rfam family: Bacterial small subunit ribosomal RNA
Source: RNAcentral
GUAGGUGGCGAGCGUUAUCCGGAAUUAUUGGGCGUAAAGAGGGAGCAGGCGGCACUAAGGGUCUGUGGUGAAAGAUCGAAGCUUAACUUCGGUAAGCCAUGGAAACCGUAGAGCUAGAGUGUGUGAGAGGAUCGUGGAAUUCCAUGUGUAGCGGUGAAAUGCGUAGAUAUAUGGAGGAACACCAGUGGCGAAGGCGACGAUCUGGCGCAUAACUGACGCUCAGUCCCGAAAGCGUGGGGAGCAAAUAGGAUUAGAUACCCUAGUAGCCCACGCCGUAAACGAUGAGUACUAAGUGUUGGGUGUCAAAGCUCAGUGCUGCAGUUAACGCAAUAAGUACUCCGCCUGAGUAGUACGUUCGCAAGAAUG